CAGAGAUGGAUUGGUGCCUUCGGGAACUCUGAGACAGGUGCUGCAUGGCUGUCGUCAGCUCGUGUUGUGAAAUGUUGGGUUAAGUCCCGCAACGAGCGCAACCCUUAUCCUUUGUUGCCAGCGGUUCGGCCGGGAACUCAAAGGAGACUGCCAGUGAUAAACUGGAGGAAGGUGGGGAUGACGUCAAGUCAUCAUGGCCCUUACGAGUAGGGCUACACACGUGCUACAAUGGCAUAUACAAAGAGAAGCGACCUCGCGAGAGCAAGCGGACCUCAUAAAGUAUGUCGUAGUCCGGAUUGGAGUCUGCAACUCGACUCCAUGAAGUCGGAAUCGCUAGUAAUCGUAGAUCAGAAUGCUACGGUGAAUACGUUCCCGGGUCUUGUACACACCG
Molecule: ribosomal RNA, 391 nt
Filed under: Serratia sp. SB18
Lineage: Bacteria; Pseudomonadati; Pseudomonadota; Gammaproteobacteria; Enterobacterales; Yersiniaceae
Description: bacterial SSU rRNA
Rfam family: Bacterial small subunit ribosomal RNA
Source: RNAcentral